Molecule: non-coding RNA, 181 nt
Filed under: Deltaproteobacteria bacterium
Lineage: Bacteria; Pseudomonadati; Myxococcota; Myxococcia
Description: 6S RNA
Rfam family: 6S / SsrS RNA
About the family: E. coli 6S RNA was the first non coding RNA to be sequenced, but its function was unknown until recently. It consists of 184 nucleotides that fold into an extended hairpin structure with a large single-stranded internal bulge. The 6S RNA specifically associates with RNA polymerase holoenzyme containing the sigma70 specificity factor.
Source: RNAcentral
GACCCUCUGGACGGUGCGCCAGGUUCCGGCAUGCGUUGACCCCACAACGUCAACGUGGGCCCUGCCUCUACCCGCGGUGUGCAAGCCCCGCAACAUGGGGAAGCCUGAAGCGGGCAACCGCGGGGCCCCCCUACGAAUGUAGGGGUUGACGGCCGGCGCCAGCGGCCAUUCCGGAGGGUCG